UAGAAAGAAAGAGCACGUUAUCUGCAGACACAAAACCGCAUGCUGGUACAGCAGCUCACGCAAGUCCAGCAUUGCCUCGAGGCAAAGAUAUUCAACUGUAAGUGUUUCUCUGGUGAUGCUCAGUUUUGUUUCACAAGGAAAGCACACUUGACAAAAAAUGACAGCUGUGCAUAAAAAUGAGCCCCUGUUUUAAUUAAUUCCAGUGGAAGAAAGACCUACAUGCAUGUGCUCCAAAAAAUGCUUGGUGGACUGCGAAAGGGACCGCUACACCACUGCAAAAGCAUUUGAAAGAUAUGAUCCACCACCAACCCCCGUGCUUUCUCAGAGGAAGCCAUGGUAGAGGUAGAUGAUGGUCAGCAUGAUUUGCAACUGCUUCAGCCGACUGAAGCAGACAAGCCAGAGUUUACCUAUACAGAAGACGGGUUU
Molecule: long non-coding RNA, 426 nt
Organism: Rhipicephalus sanguineus (brown dog tick)
Lineage: Eukaryota; Metazoa; Arthropoda; Arachnida; Ixodida; Ixodidae
Exons: 3
Source: RefSeq, a predicted model, not a curated record